This 1341-nucleotide ribosomal RNA is filed under the name Tirisporella beccariana. RNAcentral describes it as "partial large subunit ribosomal RNA". It matches the Rfam family "Eukaryotic large subunit ribosomal RNA", at positions 77 to 1427 of the family's 3401-position model. The record is from RNAcentral. Lineage: Eukaryota; Fungi; Ascomycota; Sordariomycetes; Tirisporellales; Tirisporellaceae.
GCCUCAGUAACGGCGAGUGAAGCGGCAACAGCUCAAAUUUGAAAUCUGGCACCCCUCCCGGGGGGGGCCCGAGUUGUAAUUUGCAGAGGAUGCCCUUGGCGAGGCGCCUUCCGAGUUCCCUGGAACGGGACGCCGCAGAGGGUGAGAGCCCCGUAGCGGUCGGUCGCCACAGCCUGUGUAGGGCUCCUUCGAAGAGUCGAGUAGUUUGGGAAUGCUGCUCAAAGCGGGAGGUAAAUCUCUUCUAAAGCUAAAUACCUGCCAGAGACCGAUAGCGCACAAGUAGCGUGAGCGAAAGAUGAAAAGCACUCUGGAGAGAGGGUCAAACAGUACGUGAAAUUGUUGAAAGGGAAGCGCUAGCGGCCAGACGUGGGCCGGCGGCUCCCCCGGCGUUCUUCGCCGGUCCGCUCCGCCCGGCCCAGGCCAGCAUCGGUUUCCGCGGGGGGAUAAGGGGUGGUGGGAACGUGGCUCCCCCUUCGGGGGGGGUGUUAUAGCCCGCCCCUCGAUGCCCCCGUGGGGACCGAGGAUGCCGCGCCCUCGUGCGAGGAUGCUGGCGUAAUGGCCGCUAACGACCCGUCUUGAAACACGGACCAAGGAGUCGUCCACUGGAGCGAGCGUUAGGGUGUAAAACCCGGUACGCGUAAUGAAAGUAACAGGUGAGAGCCUCGGCGCAUCAUCGACCGAUCCUGAAGUGCUCGGAUGGAUUUGAGUAGGAGUUCCAGCGGACGGACCCGAAAGACAGUGAACUAUGCCUGUAUAGGGUGAAGCCAGAGGAAACUCUGGUGGAGGCUCGCAGCGGUUCUGACGUGCAAAUCGAUCGUCAAAUAUGGGCAUGGGGGCGAAAGACUAAUCGAACUGUCUAGUAGCUGGUUACCGCCGAAGUUUCCCUCAGGAUAGCAGUGUUGUACUUCAGUUUUAUGAGGUAAAGCGAAUGAUUAGGGACUCGGGGGCGCUUAUUAGCCUUCAUCCAUUCUCAAACUUUAAAUAUGUAAGAAGCCCUUGUUGCUUAGGUGAACGUGGGCGUUCGAAUGAAACAACACUAGUGGGCCAUUUUUGGUAAGCAGAACUGGCGAUGCGGGAUGAACCGAACGCGGGGUUAAGGCGCCAGAGUGUACGCUCAUCAGACACCACAAAAGGCGUUAGCACAUCCAGACAGUAGGACGGUGGCCAUGGAAGUCGGAAUCCGCUAAGGACUGUGUAACAACUCACCUACCGAAUGUGCUAGCCCUGAAAAUGGAUGGCGCUCAAGCGUACCGCCCAUACCCCGCCCUCGGGGUAGCAACGAUGCCCCGAGGAGUAGGCGGCCGUGGGGGUCGGUGACGAAGCCCAGGGCGCGAGCCCGGA